Mesocricetus auratus (golden hamster) is the source of this 1017-nucleotide long non-coding RNA. RefSeq lists it as uncharacterized. Lineage: Eukaryota; Metazoa; Chordata; Mammalia; Rodentia; Cricetidae. The transcript is spliced from 2 exons. The record is from RefSeq and is a predicted model, not a curated record.
GACCCGAGCCUGCGCACACAAGAGGAUGCGCACCUGGUUGCCAUCUUUGAUGCUGGCAUGCCAACUUACUCUCCUCCAAAGCACGGAAGUAGCUGUGGAGGGCGUCACGUUAUGUUGAAGCAAAAAGGACCGAGUAACUUCUAAAUUGGAAAGUCCUUGAAACCUCGCCUGUAAUACAGAUACGGUUUGCCAGUUAACCUGUAGCGAGAUAAGGAGCUCUUUUCACACAACAGAUUAUAAAAUAGGGAGUUUUGGUACACUUGGACCAGCCCUUCGCAAGGAGCACAACUAAGGUGUCAAUUAGAAUAGAAUCGGAAACUGGACAUGCUUAGAAAUGUGUCAACCUCUAUGUAAAGAUUUGUGGAAGUUCCUUCAAUAGAAUCCUCAUACUUCCUUUGUUGACGGGGAGCUUUGGCAAUGCCUCCUGCAGGCUUCUCACCGAUCACAGGUAAUACAUCUUUUCCCAUUCUUUUAUGUUUUGGCUGGGUUAUUUUUGGCUUUGAACUCACCUAGAUGCAAACAUUAUAUGUUGUAAGUCUGAGGACUUAAAAAUAUUGCCAAGGUAGGGUCGGGUGGUGGUGGCACACACCUUAAAUCCUAGCACUCAGGAGGCAGAGGGAGGCAGAUCUUUGUGAGUUCAAGGGCUAGUUCCAGGACAGCCUCCAAAGCCACAGAGAAACCCUGCUUCGAAACUCCCCCCCCAAAAAAAAAGUAUUGCCAAGGUAGAGAUCACAAGAAUUGUAUGCAAUAAAGAAUGGCUGAAAGGGAACAAGGCUAUCUCAACAGCACUGCAGUUUUAGAAUCCCAACCUUUUUUGUAGGUUGCUUAGAUGGCUCAGAAGUAGCAAAGGCUUGAUAAACUUUUUGGUUUCAUUUACUGCAGAGGUUUAGGUAUAACUUCCACGUGGAAAUAGAUUCCAGGGCCAUUUACGUGUGCCCAAAUCAUAAAACUCUGACAUUUGUUAUUUCUACUGUAUUAUUAAAACAAAGAGGAAAUAAAGUAUUUGGUGAGAUUUUU